Molecule: ribosomal RNA, 253 nt
Filed under: uncultured bacterium
Lineage: Bacteria
Description: partial 16S ribosomal RNA
Rfam family: Bacterial small subunit ribosomal RNA
Source: RNAcentral
UACGGAGGAUGCAAGCGUUAUCCGGAAUGAUUGGGCGUAAAGCGUCCGCAGGUGGCGAUGUAAGUCUGCUGUUAAAGAGUCUAGCUUAACUAGAUAAAGGCAGUGGAAACUACAAAGCUAGAGUGUGGUCGGGGCAGAAGGAAUUCCUGGUGUAGCGGUGAAAUGCGUAGAUAUCAGGAAGAACACCGGUGGCGAAAGCGCUCUGCUAGGCCGUAACUGACACUGAGGGACGGAAGCUAGGGGAGCGAAUGGG